AGAGUUCGAUCCUGGCUCAGGAUGAACGCUGGCGGCGUGCCUAAUACAUGCAAGUAGAACGCUGAAGCUUGGUGCUUGCACCGAGCGGAUGAGUUGCGAACGGGUGAGUAACGCGUAGGUAACCUGCCUGGUAGCGGGGGAUAACUAUUGGAAACGAUAGCUAAUACCGCAUGACAACAGUUAUUGCAUGAUAACUGUUUAAAAGGUGCAAUUGCAUCACUACCAGAUGGACCUGCGUUGUAUUAGCUAGUUGGUGAGGUAACGGCUCACCAAGGCGACGAUACAUAGCCGACCUGAGAGGGUGAUCGGCCACACUGGGACUGAGACACGGCCCAG
This 336-nucleotide ribosomal RNA is filed under the name uncultured bacterium. Its description in RNAcentral is "bacterial SSU rRNA". It matches the Rfam family "Bacterial small subunit ribosomal RNA", at positions 8 to 334 of the family's 1533-position model. The record is from RNAcentral.